This is a non-coding RNA of Paramuricea clavata, 250 nucleotides long. The record is from the annotation of a GenBank genome assembly. Lineage: Eukaryota; Metazoa; Cnidaria; Anthozoa; Malacalcyonacea; Plexauridae.
AUGUGGUUGAAAGAGCAAAUAAUGUCUUGCCAAUUCAGAAAUGUGACAUUCCUCCUGGUGCUAAGAUUGGUGAUGUUAUUCAGUGUACAAAUGAGGAUGAAAGGGUUGGUCAUUGUGGUAUGAUUCAUGUGUUGUUCUAACAUCUGAUGCAUCUUAUGGUGGUAGUGCUACAGUGUGGGUUUGAAUGGAUGGAGCACAAAAUGGAGAGCAAAGAUGUUCCAGUUACUACAUUCUAUUAGCGUCAGUCAGG